This 446-nucleotide ribosomal RNA is filed under the name uncultured bacterium. Its description in RNAcentral is "partial 16S ribosomal RNA". It matches the Rfam family "Bacterial small subunit ribosomal RNA", at positions 338 to 795 of the family's 1533-position model. The record is from RNAcentral.
CCUACGGGAGGCAGCAGUAGGGAAUUUUCGGCAAUGGGGGAAACCCUGACGGAGCAACGCCGCGUGAACGAAGAAGUUUUUCGUAAUGUAAAGUUCUUUUAACAGGGAAGAAAGAGAAAUUUGACGGUACCUGAAGACUAAGCUCCGGCUAACUACGUGCCAGCAGCCUCGGUAAUACGUAGGGAGCGAGCGUUAUCCGGAAUUAUUGGGGGUAAAGGGUGCGUAGAUGGCAUAGUAAGUCUUUGGUAAAAAUGCUAGGUUAAAGCCAGUAGGGCAACAGAUACUACAAAUCUAGAGUAUGAGAGAGGUAAGUGGAACUAUAUGUGUAGCGGUAAAAUGCGUAGAUAUAAGUAAGAACACCAGUGGCGAAGGCGGCUUGCUGGGUCGAUACUGACAGUGAGGCACGAAAGCGUGGGGAGCAAACAGGAUUAGAUACCCGGGUAGUC